Molecule: long non-coding RNA, 224 nt
Filed under: Malus domestica (apple)
Lineage: Eukaryota; Viridiplantae; Streptophyta; Magnoliopsida; Rosales; Rosaceae
Description: long non-coding RNA (MDOM_LNC009227)
Source: RNAcentral
AGAGUAUUCUCCUUCCACCAUGGAAGGUUAGAGAUUCCUUGUUGUGCAUUCAUAUGCCUACAUGAUUAGGUAGCUUGACCACAACAAUGUCGUGGACACUCCAAUGGAAUGCCAUUGACAUGAUCAAAGAUCAAGGACCUAACCAUUAAACAUCUAUGAUGCCUUAGGUCAAAGGACUACUUUGCAUAUUGCAACUCUCGAGUUCUUACAUGACAUGUAUGUUC